RNAcentral lists this ribosomal RNA (919 nucleotides) under uncultured archaeon. RNAcentral's name for it is "bacterial SSU rRNA". It matches the Rfam family "Archaeal small subunit ribosomal RNA", at positions 1 to 922 of the family's 1478-position model. The record is from RNAcentral.
UUCCGGUUGAUCCUGCCGGAGGCCAUUGCUAUCGGAGUCCGAUUUAGCCAUGCUAGUCGCACGAGUUCAGACUCGUGGCGGAAAGCUCAGUAACACGUGGCCAAACUACCCUACGGAUCGGGAUAACCUCGGGAAACUGAGGCUAAUACCGAAUACGGCUCCCACGCUGGAGUGCGGGGAGCUGGAAACGUUCCGGCGCCGUAGGAUGUGGCUGCGGCCGAUUAGGUAGACGGUGGGGUAACGGCCCACCGUGCCUAUAAUCGGUACGGGUCAUGAGAGUGAGAGCCCGGAGACGGUAUCUGAGACAAGAUACCGGGCCCUACGGGGCGCAGCAGGCGCGAAACCUUUACACUGCACGACAGUGCGAUAGGGGGACUCCGAGUGCGAGGGCAUACAGUCCUCGCUUUUCUGUACCGUAAGGUGGUACAGGAACAAGUGCUGGGCAAGACCGGUGCCAGCCGCCGCGGUAAUACCGGCAGCACGAGUGAUGGCCGAUAUUAUUGGGCCUAAAGCGUCCGUAGCUGGCCGAACAAGUCCGUUGGGAAAUCGACGCGCCCAACGCGUCGGCGUCCAGCGGAAACUGUUCGGCUUGGGGCCGGAGGACUCGAGGGGUACGUCCGGGGUAGGAGUGAAAUCCCGUAAUCCUGGACGGACCACCGGUGGCGAAAGCGCCUCGAGAGGACGGACCCGACAGUGAGGGACGAAAGCCAGGGUCUCGAACCGGAUUAGAUACCCGGGUAGUCCUGGCCGUAAACGAUGUCCGCUAGGUGUGGCGCAGGCUACGAGCCUGCGCUGUGCCGUAGGGAAGCCGUGAAGCGGACCGCCUGGGAAGUACGUCUGCAAGGAUGAAACUUAAAGGAAUUGGCGGGGGAGCACUACAACCGGAGGAGCCUGCGGUUUAAUUGGACUCAACGCCGGA